GUGAAUCAUCGAAUCUUUGAACGCACGUUGCGCCCGCCGGCACUCCGGCGGGCAUGCCUGUCCGAGCGUCAUUUCAACCCUCAGGUCCCUCUUCGGGGGGAACCUGGUGCUGGGGAUCAGCGGCCCUCGGGCCCCUGUCCCCCAAAUACAGUGGCGGUCGCGCCGCAGCCUCCCCUGCGUAGUAGCACACCUCGCACCGGAGAGCGGCUCGGCCACGCCGUGAAAACCCCAUCUUUCAAGGUUGACCUCGGAUCAGGUAGGAAUACCCGCUGAACUUAAGCAUAUCAAUAAGCGGAGGA
Molecule: unclassified non-coding RNA, 299 nt
Filed under: Nectria sp. (in: ascomycete fungi)
Lineage: Eukaryota; Fungi; Ascomycota; Sordariomycetes; Hypocreales; Nectriaceae
Description: Nectria sp. (in: Fungi) partial contains 5.8S ribosomal RNA, internal transcribed spacer 2, and large subunit ribosomal RNA
Rfam family: 5.8S ribosomal RNA (bases 1-71)
Source: RNAcentral